CUUCUCCAGAGUUCCUUUCCUCUGUCAGCUGGCCCAAGCAGCCCUACUGGUGAUGAGUUCAGGAGCACACAUCAGUCAGAUCGAAAAUCAAGGGUGUGCAGAGUUAAGUCGCAAUAAUGCCUUCCUGACUCAUGGAAAAAAUACACAAUCCUUAGAACCAUCUGAGGAGCCUACAAAACAAUAUCAUGGCAGUUCAUUGCCAUCCUAUGAAAAUGUGACUAAAAGAAAGAAAAAUGCAGUACUUUGUAAGUCAAAAACUCAAUCUUAUCUAAAGGAUUUUGAUAAAAAAUGUAGGUCAUUGAAUCUGCCUCAUGAUGAUAUCACCAGUAGCAGCAAUGCCAAUGAUAGGAAUUUGCAGGGAGGUUCAAGUGACUUGUCUUACAUUAUUCCUUCACCUCUUAAAUUUAACAGUGAAAGUAAGACAGAUAUUAACAAGCUGCUUUUUACUGACAAAAUGAAGCCUGAUGAAACUGUUUAUGAUGCUGACAUGGAGUUGACUGCCAGUGAUGCAAGUGAACUACUCACAGUUACAGCAAAAGGCAAUUAUAAAUCGCGCC
Molecule: long non-coding RNA, 557 nt
Filed under: Parus major (Great Tit)
Lineage: Eukaryota; Metazoa; Chordata; Aves; Passeriformes; Paridae
Description: lncRNA (ENSPMJG00000004068.1)
Source: RNAcentral